This 253-nucleotide ribosomal RNA is filed under the name uncultured bacterium. RNAcentral's name for it is "partial 16S ribosomal RNA". It matches the Rfam family "Bacterial small subunit ribosomal RNA", at positions 524 to 776 of the family's 1533-position model. The record is from RNAcentral.
UACGUAGGGUGCAAGAGUUAAUCGGAAUUACUGGGCGUAAAGCGUGCGCAGGCGGUUUUGUAAGUCUGUCGUGAAAGCCCCGGGCUCAACCUGGGAAUUGCGAUGGAGACUGCAAGGCUUGAAUCUGGCAGAGGGGGGUAGAAUUCCACGUGUAGCAGUGAAAUGCGUAGAGAUGUGGAGGAACACCGAUGGCGAAGGCAGCCCCCUGGGUCAAGAUUGACGCUCAUGCACGAAAGCGUGGGGAGCAAACAGG